UCGGGAAUUUUGGGCAAUGGGCGAAAGCCUGACCCAGCAACGCCGCGUGAAGGAUGAAGUAUUUCGGUAUGUAAACUUCGAAAGAAUAGGAAGAAUAAAUGACGGCACUAUUUAUAAGGUCCGGCUAACUACGUGCCAGCAGCCGCGGUAAUACGUAGGGACCAAGCGUUGUUCGGAUUUACUGGGCGUAAAGGGCGCGUAGGCGGCAAUUCAAGUCAUCUGUGAAAUCUCCGGGCUUAACUCGGAACGGUCAGAUGAUACUGCUUUGCUAGAGUGCAGAAGGGGCAAUCGGAAUUCUUGGUGUAGCGGUGAAAUGCGUAGAUAUCAAGAGGAACACCUGAGGUGAAGACGGGUUGCUGGGCUGACACUGACGCUGAGGCGCGAAAGCCAGGGGAGCAAACGGGAUUAGAUACCCUAGUAGUCCCUGAGCGGGCUGGCAAGGCGCAU
RNAcentral lists this ribosomal RNA (447 nucleotides) under uncultured bacterium. RNAcentral's name for it is "bacterial SSU rRNA". It matches the Rfam family "Bacterial small subunit ribosomal RNA", at positions 355 to 825 of the family's 1533-position model. The record is from RNAcentral.